CUUUCUUUCUUUCUUUCUUUUUUUUCUUUCUUUCUUUUUUUCUUUUUUUUUUUUUUUUAAUUACGUAUAUGUUCAUUAUAUCUGUGUGUCUUUCUUACUCUCUCUUUCUCUCUUUCUCUCUCUUUUUCUCUUUCUAUCUCUGUCUGUGGCUUGAUUAAAAGCAUUUUUGUUUAAAAUCAUCGAGAUAUCAUUCUCUCACCCUCUUUAGUUCGACGACCCUCUGCGGAUUGGAAUUCGAUGCCGCGACGUCGAGAACUUGUCGAGAGUUAAAGAAAGAACUAUAAGAGAGAAAGAGAAAGAGAGAGAGAGAGAGAGAUUUCAAAUUAGAACUCACACCUAGCUCUUUUCUGUUACUCGUUUCAAAUGAUCGAAAGCGUUGUUACUAAUCGAUUCGACGUGUAAAAUUUGGUUGAAAGAAGAAAAAGAAAGAAGAAAGAAAAGAAAAGAUUAGAGUUAGAACGUUAUCAAGAGAGAUAGAAAGUGCAUAGCGUGAAAACAAGUGCAUUGCAGCUGCAGUGAGCACGAGAAUCCUGUCGGUCGAAUCUUUGCAUCGCAUCUAAUAUUACAGGACGAACCGAAAUAAACUCUACUCAAGUACUUAUCACUGUAUGUUAUGUGUAUACGCAUUAUACAGUAAUGUAUGUAUGUAUGCAUAUGUACGUCGGUGCAUGACUGUAUGGAGAAGCACAUACGUGCAUAUAUACGUACAUAAAUACA
Vespula pensylvanica (western yellowjacket) is the source of this 717-nucleotide long non-coding RNA. RefSeq lists it as uncharacterized. Lineage: Eukaryota; Metazoa; Arthropoda; Insecta; Hymenoptera; Vespidae. The transcript is spliced from 2 exons. The record is from RefSeq and is a predicted model, not a curated record.